UAAGGAAUAUUGGUCAAUGGACGCAAGUCUGAACCAGCCAUGCCGCGUGGAGGAUGAAGGUCCUCUGGAUUGUAAACUUCUUUUAUCUGGGACGAAACACUUCUUUUCUAAGAGGCCUGACGGUACCAGAUGAAUAAGCACCGGCUAACUCCGUGCCAGCAGCCGCGGUAAUACGGAGGGUGCAAGCGUUAUCCGGAUUCACUGGGUUUAAAGGGUGCGUAGGUGGGUAUAUAAGUCAGUGGUGAAAUCCCCGAGCUUAACUUGGGAACUGCCAUUGAUACUAUAUAUCUUGAAUACCGUAGAGGUAAGCGGAAUAUGUCAUGUAGCGGUGAAAUGCUUAGAUAUGACAUGGAACACCAAUUGCGAAGGCAGCUUACUAUGCGGUGAUUGACACUGAGGCACGAAAGCGUGGGUAGCAAACA
RNAcentral lists this ribosomal RNA (422 nucleotides) under uncultured bacterium. RNAcentral describes it as "bacterial SSU rRNA". It matches the Rfam family "Bacterial small subunit ribosomal RNA", at positions 355 to 774 of the family's 1533-position model. The record is from RNAcentral.